This 497-nucleotide ribosomal RNA is filed under the name uncultured bacterium. RNAcentral describes it as "partial 16S ribosomal RNA". It matches the Rfam family "Bacterial small subunit ribosomal RNA", at positions 28 to 507 of the family's 1533-position model. The record is from RNAcentral.
GAUGAACGCUGGCGGCGUGCCUAAUACAUGCAAGUCGAGCGAACAGACGAGGAGCUUGCUCCUUUGACGUUAGCGGCGGACGGGUGAGUAACACGUAGGUAACCUACCUAUAAGACUGGGAUAACUUCGGGAAACCGGAGCUAAUACCGGAUAAUAUUUCGAACCGCAUGGUUCGAUAGUGAAAGAUGGCUUUGCUAUCACUUAUAGAUGGACCUGCGCCGUAUUAGCUAGUUGGUAAGGUAACGGCUUACCAAGGCAACGAUACGUAGCCGACCUGAGAGGAGGAUAGGGCACACUGGAACGGAGACACGGGCCAGACGCCGAGGGGAGGAAGCAGUGGGGAAGAUUGGACAAUGGGGGAAAGCCGGAUCCAGCCAUGCAGCGGGAGGGAAGAAGGUCUUCGGAUUGUAAAGCACUUUAAGUUGGGAGGAAGGGCAGUAAGUGAAUACCUUGCUGUUUUGACGUUACCAACAGAAUAAGCACCGGCUAACUUCGUG